AGUGAACGCUGGCGGUAGGCCUAACACAUGCAAGUCGAACGGCAGCACAGUAAGAGCUUGCUCUUACGGGUGGCGAGUGGCGGACGGGUGCGGAAUACAUCGGAAUCUACUUUUUCGUGGGGGAUAACGUAGGGAAACUUACGCUAAUACCGCAUACGACCUACGGGUGAAAGCAGGGGAUCUUCGGACCUUGCGCGAUUGAAUGAGCCGAUGUCGGAUUAGCUAGUUGGCGGGGUAAAGGCCCACAAAGGCGACGAUCCGUAGCUGGUCUGAGAGGAUGAUCAGCCACACUGGAACUGAGACACAGUCCAGACUCCUACGGGAGGCAGCAGUGGGGAAGAUUGGACAAUGGGCGCAAGCCUGAUCCAGCCAUACCGCGUGGGUGAAGAAGGCCUUCGGGUUGUAAAGCCCUUUUGUUGGGAAAGAAAAGCAGCAGGUUAAUACCCCGCUGUUCUGACGGUACCCAAAGAAUAAGCACCGGCUAACUUCGUG
Molecule: ribosomal RNA, 492 nt
Filed under: uncultured bacterium
Lineage: Bacteria
Description: partial 16S ribosomal RNA
Rfam family: Bacterial small subunit ribosomal RNA
Source: RNAcentral